GAAAGCCGUAUGCGGGAAAACCGCACGUACGGUUUGACGAGGGGGGAAGGCAUCCGUGCCUUUCUCUACUCUAC
This 74-nucleotide non-coding RNA is filed under the name Hydrogenispora ethanolica. The record is from RNAcentral. Lineage: Bacteria; Bacillati; Bacillota.